This is a long non-coding RNA of Nematostella vectensis (starlet sea anemone), 1320 nucleotides long. RefSeq lists it as uncharacterized. The record is from RefSeq and is a predicted model, not a curated record. The transcript has 2 exons. NCBI's taxonomy places the organism in Eukaryota, Metazoa, Cnidaria, Anthozoa, Actiniaria, Edwardsiidae.
UGUUUAAGGGAUUUUUUCAUGAUUUUCUCUUGGCAUUAUAAUAACGACGAUAAUAACGUCUCGCGGAACACUCCUUGACUAAAGCUGAACUCUUGUUACAAUUGUUAUAAGGCCUAAAGCUGAUAAGGUGACAUAUACCGUGGUAAACGACACCGACCUUAGCCGAGUGCUUGACGAACUAUACCGAAAUGCGAGCGAACAACUACAGCACCUCGCCGUUUUGCCUCGGGAAAUGAAGCGAAUACUCUGGUUCGCUCUGGUUGUAAAGGCUUUCUAAAUUCCUUGAAUGGAUAUAGACACAAGAUUUAGAAGCACAAAGCCCUAAAAUUCACAGGUUCCGUGGUUCAGCGAACAAGUAUAAAAGCAAGCCAGGUAAUCGCUAAGAGACGCGGUCAUUUGGCUCAGAGCAACAACACACCGGGAAACGGAGAAAGCACGGCACGCGUUACUUUACUUAAGUCAAAUUCACUUAUCGACAAAACCUUCAAUCGCGCAAUAGAAUAAAAAGCCUUAUAUCUCCUCAUUAUUAUAAUCAGGUGGUUUGAACUAUUAUGACCACCGACUAACAACCAGUUAUGAACUGAAAUUCAGCCCGGAACACAUAGUAAAGUUCAGUUAAAAACUUGUACCGAAAGUUUGUCUUCAGCAGGUGCAAUACGGUUGUUUUGUCUGUUUUAUCUCAACGCGACAUGGCGGCUAUGACCGUGUCAAGAGCUUCGUUUGGUGGUAUUUCUCUUCGAUAGCUCGAACAUUUGUUCUCGGAUUGCUCGCUAUAUAUCUUAUCGAUACUCAAGUGCGCAAAUCGCCAAUAUGGAGAAAGGAACGUAAAAAUCGUGAAUGUCAUUGCAUAAGAAAUCUUGGGAAUAGACACAAGAAACAUAUUUGUCAGCAAAACUAUAAUUCUGCUAUCAACACCUCAAUGAAAUGCAUAACGUGGGCCAUUAUCCCAGCACUGGAUAUCUCUGCUUCACGACUUGCAACACUGGUAUUAUUUUAUUUGUGAAUAAGGCACUCAUUUUAAGAGUGAUGUGAAGAUCCAGCUUUACCACAUUGGCCUAGGAAGGGUGCCAUCUUAUACUUAUAAUGCCCUGAACAUGCUCAACGGAUAAAGAUAAAGAUAUUCACAGGGGGUUCCGGUGGUAAAAAGUAUCGAGUAGUUUUGAUUUCAAGAGUUGUGAAAAAAAUGACACGUUUCGGGAGUGGUAUAAUGCCUUUGCUCACCGUGUGUAUAAUUGAACCUUAGCAAACGUCGGUUAAACUGAGGUUUUGCUAAAGUAAUACAAUUCAGCGUCUGUGUUACGUGGUAAAGUUAUACGUUCG